RNAcentral lists this long non-coding RNA (848 nucleotides) under Rattus norvegicus (Norway rat). Its description in RNAcentral is "long non-coding RNA NONRATT001516". The record is from RNAcentral. Lineage: Eukaryota; Metazoa; Chordata; Mammalia; Rodentia; Muridae.
AGGAGGAACCCAUUCCGGGCUCAGAAUACUGGGUGUGUGCCACCCUCUGGGUGGGGGUCAUGGCGGCAAAUCCAGGUCAGGCGGCCCCUUGGGACUGGAAGGAUUGUCUGGAUCACACAGUGGCAACCUGAAAACACUGCAGCUCUAGGUUGUGGGUAGCAGCCUGGCUCAGGCUACCUGUUGUGUUAGGUGUGUGGCCUGAUGGCUCUGACGGGACAGACAUCAACUCCCUUUGCCGCUCCCACAAUGAACGGGUGGUGGCCGUGGCAGACGACUUCUGCAAAGUACACCUCUUUCAGUACCCAUGCGCUCGAGCCAAGGUGAGGCCUCGGGACCACUGGGCCCAGGAGGGUAGGUUUGGGACCCUGCCAUUGCUGCAACUGUUUCUUUUUUUCUCAUCUAGGCUCCAAGUCGUAUGUACUCAGGCCAUGGCAGCCAUGUGACUAGUGUCCGGUUCACACACGACGACUCAUUCCUUGUCUCCUUAGGUGGCAAGGAUGCUAGCAUCUUUCAGUGGCGAGUGCUGGGGGCAGGGAGCUCUGGACCCGCUCCUGCCACGCCAUCUAGAACUCCCUCUCUGUCCCCUGCCUCCUCCCUGGACGUGUGAUUGAUGCCGGAAGGUCUUGUCCUUCUGGUACUGUGGUCUGGCCCCACCCUGGCCAAAACCCCUAGGACCAAGGACAGUCUUUUCCUGGGCUGGCUUUUUCUUUGACUUAAUACAUUCCCAAUUGCGCAUUUUCCUGGAGGGGUGAACCACCCCAUUGCACACAAUAACAGACUUGCUGGUUGAGCCGGGCAAUUCAACUCUGACACUCUGCCCGGUGAGGGGCAAUAAAAAGAAAAAAGUC